Molecule: ribosomal RNA, 495 nt
Filed under: uncultured bacterium
Lineage: Bacteria
Description: partial 16S ribosomal RNA
Rfam family: Bacterial small subunit ribosomal RNA
Source: RNAcentral
GACGAACGCUGGCGGCGCGCCUAACACAUGCAAGUCGAACGAAGCUACUUGACUGAAGUUUUCGGAUGGAAAGAAAGUAGACUUAGUGGCGAACGGGUGAGUAACACGUGAGCAACCUACCUUUCAGUGGGGGACAACGUUUGGAAACGAACGCUAAUACCGCAUAAAGUAACGAGAUGACAUCAUCUUGUUACCAAAGAUUUAUCGCUGAGAGAUGGGCUCGCGUCCGAUUAGAUAGUUGGUGAGGUAAUGGCUCACCAAGUCGACGAUCGGUAGCCGGACUGAGAGGGCGAAGGGCCACAUUGGGACUGGGAAACGGCCCAGACUCCUACGGGAGGCAGCAGUGGGGAAUAUUGGUCAAUGGGGGAAACCCUGAACCAGCGACGCCGCGUGAGGGAAGACGGUUUUCGGAUUGUAAACCUCUGUCUUCAGGGACGAUAAUGACGGUACCUGAGGAGGAAGCCACGGCUAACUACGUGCCAGCAGCCGCUGUAA